This 433-nucleotide ribosomal RNA is filed under the name uncultured bacterium. Its description in RNAcentral is "partial 16S ribosomal RNA". It matches the Rfam family "Bacterial small subunit ribosomal RNA", at positions 29 to 507 of the family's 1533-position model. The record is from RNAcentral.
AACGAACGCUGGCGGCAUGCCUAACACAUGCAAGUCGAACGAGACCUUCGGGACUCGUGGCGCACGGGUGCGUAACGCGUGGGAACCUGCCCUUAGGUUCGGAAUAACUCCCCGAAAGGGGUUCUAAUCCCGGAUAAUGUCCUCGUACCAAAGAUUUAGCGCCUUUGGAUGGGCCCGCGUUGGAUUAGCUAGUUGGUAGGGUAAAAGCCUACCAAGGCGACGAUCCAUAGCUGGUCUGAGAGGAUGAUCAGCCACACUGGGACUGAGACACGGCCCAGACUCCUACGGGAGGCAGCAGUGGGGAAUAUUGGACAAUGGGCGAAAGCCUGAUACAGCAAUGCCGCGUGAGUGAUGAAGGCCUUAGGGUUGUAAAGCUCUUUUAACCGGGAUGAUAAUGACAGUACCGGGAGAAUAAGCGCCGGCUAACUCCGUG